CCAACUCUGCACUACUUGGAAGGCCAAGGGCCAUCUUUUGCCUCACCUGACUCACUGGAUUCUGCGACAGCAGCUGACCCGGGUCCUUGAAGGCUUCCCGCGCCACCCCCCCACCCCAUCACCAGGAGAGGCCACCCUGGCUGAGGCUCCGGGUCUGCGAGCUGCCUCAUGUAACAGGGCCUCCUUAUACAUUUGUCAUCACCAGAAAUGGAAGUCACAGGCCAGUCUCAAAUAACACACCAGUAACAGGUUCCAGAGUUGGACACGAGGGCACACCAGGGAAGGCCCCGGGCGAGGAUGCCGUCUUGCAGGAAAGUGCUGGAACCAGACGCACGCGUUGCUGCCAGGGCAGGGUCUGCUUCCAAGGAUCCAUACGGCUAAUGGUAUGUGGAUCUGAGGUGAAUGCAAGCCACAGACAAUCCCCGAAUUGUGGUCUCUUUUCACAGUAACCAUCCUCUUCUAUGCCUGCUUUUAACAUUUUGGCUACAAGUUCCUCUUUCUUAUUGCCUCAGAUCUAUUUUGGAGGAGUGGGGAAAACAAAGCGAAUUGAGAGACACCGUGUCGGUCUUCAUCUGGGAGACACGCAGUGGCACAGUGUGGCCUCUAGACAAAUUCAGACCAGGGCUCUAGUUCUGGGUCCGUCACUUCAAAGCCAGGUAAACUGGAGAAAAUGGCUAGUUCAUCAUCUGCAAAGUGAGUCCGAUGUGUCCUCUCUGGUAGGAUUGUUGGAAUAUGUGCAGUGUUGGCAAAGCAUCUGAAACAGUGAUCUUCUAAAGAGUGGCAUUUCUUACUAUGAUGAUUAGGACCCCAGACAAUAAUACCAAUUCCUCUGGGA
Leopardus geoffroyi (Geoffroy's cat) is the source of this 835-nucleotide long non-coding RNA. RefSeq lists it as uncharacterized. NCBI's taxonomy places the organism in Eukaryota, Metazoa, Chordata, Mammalia, Carnivora, Felidae. The transcript has 2 exons. The record is from RefSeq and is a predicted model, not a curated record.